CCUACGGGGGGCAGCAGUGGGGAAUAUUGGACAAUGGGCGAAAGCCUGAUCCAGCAAUGCCGCGUGUGUGAAGAAGGCCUGCGGGUUGUAAAGCACUUUCAGUAGAGAGGAAAAGCUUAAGGUUAAUACCCUUGAGUCUUGACGUAACCUACAGAAGAAGCACCAGCUAACUCCGUGCCAGCAGCCGCGGU
This 191-nucleotide ribosomal RNA is filed under the name uncultured bacterium. Its description in RNAcentral is "partial 16S ribosomal RNA". It matches the Rfam family "Bacterial small subunit ribosomal RNA", at positions 338 to 521 of the family's 1533-position model. The record is from RNAcentral.